GACGAACGCUGGCGGCGUGCUUAACACAUGCAAGUCGAACGGAAAGGCCCUGCUUUUGUGGGGUGCUCGAGUGGCGAACGGGUGAGUAACACGUGAGUAACCUGCCCUUGACUUUGGGAUAACUUCAGGAAACUGGGGCUAAUACCGGAUAGGAGCUCCUGCUGCAUGGUGGGGGUUGGAAAGUUUCGGCGGUUGGGGAUGGACUCGGGGCUUAUCAGCUUGUUGGUGGGGUAGUGGCUUACCAAGGCUUUGACGGGUAGCCGGCCUGAGAGGGUGACCGGCCACAUAGGCCUUGGGGUAGGACCCGGACGCCAACGUGGGCCAGGGGGGGGAAAUAGUGCACAAGGGGCGGAGGCCGGGUACAGCACCGCCGGGUUGGGAAUGACGGCUUUCGGGUUGUAAACCCCUUUCGCCAAUAACGAGGCGUGAUGACGGUAAAGGGGGAAAGAGGAACGGCUAAACAACGU
RNAcentral lists this ribosomal RNA (467 nucleotides) under uncultured bacterium. Its description in RNAcentral is "partial 16S ribosomal RNA". It matches the Rfam family "Bacterial small subunit ribosomal RNA", at positions 28 to 506 of the family's 1533-position model. The record is from RNAcentral.